ACUCAUAGAAACUAAAAAAUCUAGAGUAAUUGCAGUGUACACAUUAGACUUAUACACACGUGUAUUGACCAUUAUACCCCUACACAUGGUCAGAUAUAUAUUUUCGUUAUUUCUAAGGCAACCAAGCGAUGUGCAUGUCCUUCUGAUUACCAAUAUCACACGAAACCUCAUUUGUCAGACAAGUUGAUUUAUUUUCUUAUUUUCAUAAAGCCCCGUAACUAAAAUCAUCCCCUGCUUAAUCCGCUAUAUAUUAUGUCUUUGGCUCAUCAAUGUUCUAUCAGAACCAGAAUUCCUAAAGCCAUCAUCUUAGAGAACAUGGACAGGUGAUAGAAGAAGACUAGAUUCAAAUAGUUGAUUUGGUAUAAUCCAUAAAUUAUUUUUUCUAAAGUUUAAUUCUUCUUACUGUAACGUUAAGUCAUUGAUGAAUUUUUUGUUCCUCUUUCUUCUGUUGUUUUACAUAAUGAUUAGGAAGUUGAUGAAGAUGAGAACAAAGAGAGAGUGAUGAAAGAGAAACGUGGCUUUCUUCUGCUUACUUUUUUUUUCUGUUACUUAACUUUAUUGCUAAUGAAUAAUGGAUAAUGCUAAAUUUUGUAUUUGUGUGUUGGAUAUUAGUUUAACUUAGUCGGAUAAUGUAAAAUUUAUAUGUGUUAAAAAGUUUAUAUACGAUCGAAUUAGCCUGUAAACAAAGGAAAAAUGAUGAACUUUGAUUUGUGUUUGGAUAUUAGUUGACUUGUAAACAAUAUUAUUGACCCGAUAAACAUAAUACCAAAAGUUACAUUUUAAUAUAAAUAUUUUAACCGGCUAACACAUCUAAUAACAUAUAACAAUUCAUGUAUCCAAUAUAUUUAUUAUUUGUAACAAUUUAUCUUUUAUUUUAGUCAUUUAAAUUUAUUGUUGGCUAGCUAAAAUAUAUACAAUAUUGUAUAACAAUUAUCUUUUCCGUCCUAUUUGAUAUAAAAAAAAGUCUAAAACGUUUUAAUAUGGUUAUAACUAUUUUUCAUGUAUUUUCAAAUUAACCGUCGAGAUUUAUUGUUAUACAGCUAACAUAUUGAAUAACAUAUAGCAAUUUAUAUAUAUGGUAUAUCUAAUAAUUUAUAUUAAUUUAUCUUUUAGGUUAGUCUUUUAAAUUCAUUGUUCGACUGAUAAUAUACAUAAUACUGUUUAACAAUUAGUUUAUCCAUCACAUCUAAUGUAAAUACUAUAUCGAAUUAGUUCUAGUGUUUAAUUCAAUAACAUAGCAUAGUUAGGUGGAAAGCAAACUAGUUAAAUCCAUCAUUUCACGUGUUUGCAUCCCUAAAGAAACUAGUUUAAUGAAUGGCAAAACAGUAAAUAAUUCGUCUUUUCCUUUUAGUUGUGAAAAUCUUCUGCAACAUUCACCAUGGGUUUCAUCAUACAUUUUUGUCUAUUUCCCCCAUACAAUCUUCUGCAAUUUGAUUCGCCCAAACUACCUUUCUAGCUUCAUGUAAUAGGAGCAGGGGCUUAUGCCCUAACACAAUCAUUACAAAACCCCAAUAGCUUCUAACCUACGUACCGUUCUUAUUUUCCUAUGCAUCUAAGGACGGCUUGGUCAUUUCGCAUCUUCCACUUGCAAUUCUCGGCCCACACAAUUCUUCUGUUGGGUAUUUUCCUAAUUUGUCAAUCUUCUAUAGAUAUUAGGCCAAUUCACUCAAAAAUCUAGCCCACUUAUAAAUAGAUCUCUUAAAACUUAACUAAGUGAAAGAAAAACGUGAUUGAUUAAUUAUAUUAUUAAUUUGACUGCUAAUGAUUCGGAUUUCAAUUAAUAUAUUUUUAAAUUUGACAAAAAGUUUUAUGAUUAAACCUAAGUUUGGAUCAAAAUGGUCAAACCAUAACCCAAGAAAUAGUCAUUCUAGUUUAUGAGGUACUUCAAAUUCUAGAUGAACAUUUAUGGACAUUUUUGUCCUUUUAUAAUGAAACAAUUGUUUGCAUUUAUUUUACAUCUUUUAAAUAUUGUUUUAUUAAAACUGAUUUGCAACAUAUUACAUCAUAGAAAAAUAUGACGAUAAUAAUGAGAAAUUAAAGGGUUUUCCACAGUGGAAAAUAGUAAAAUCAGACAUGAUUAAUGAUUAGGAAUACCAAACUGACCUUGUUUUUUAAAAAAGGUGAAUUAUUUGCUCUUGUUCCAACAAUAGCAGACAGGCUUUUAAUACCUUCAACAAAAUCACGACAAUAAUUCUCAUAGUUUAGAUAUGUCUUCUUCUUUUUCAAUUGUCUUAAUCAAUUUUGUCCCGAGUUAGCUUCGGUAAACUAUUGUUAAACAAGCUUGAACUACAAAGUACAAAUUAUAUAGAUAGCCAGGAUUGAUGGUUCACGUCCCAAAACACCAAGACGAAAACACAACACCAAGACGAAAACACAGACCAAACAAGAGGAACAAUGGAAGCGGAAUCAGUUUCAAAACUAAACAUGAUCCAUUAGCGAAAGAAAGUUCUAUUCUGAUAUCGAGAAAAAUCGAUAUCUCUCAUUUUAACAACACCAUGAAUAGAUGCAGAAACAACAUAAACACGAGUAAGUAACCACUAUAACAAGCCAGAGGUUGAAACAGAGCUCGGAACUUACGCACGACAGCCCAAAUCUAGUUUCUCCACAAAAUUUAAGCAAACCACUAAAACCAAUGAAAACAGAGGACUAAAAUCUGAAAUGGACCAAACAGCCAAAAACAAGUCUCACACAUCCAAAAAAAAUCUACAUGGACCAAGGAGAAGAAAAUUACCAUUUUGCCUUUAAUGAUGGUUCAAUAUGAACCAUUAGAUCAGAUAAUCUCUCUUAUAAUAUGAACCGUUAGAUCUUCAGAAGAAAAGGAAUGAGAUAAUUACAACAAUGCAAUUAAUGAAAUCCAUCUUAGCCGUCAGAUCUUUUUUCUGUGUUAUAAUCUGAACCGUCCGAUCUCUCAUUAAAUCUCUCCUUCUCUCGUCUGGGUCCCACCAUAAAUUUAAUCAUUCUUCUUCUUCUUCUUCUUCUUCUUCAUCAUUUCACUCUCAACCACCACGAAAAUUCAUUACAUUCACCAACUAAAGCUCUCUUCUUCAACUCUUCAUCCACAAACAUUUACGUCUGUUUCUUAAGGUCUUUCUACAGCUUAUGACGCCGUGAAACAGCACUCGUGCGUCGUCCUUGGUUCUGAAAUCGCUUGGUAAGUGUAUACUCUCUCCCUCUCUUUUCCUCUCACUCUUCUAUGUCUCUCUUUAUUUUUCUAAUGUUUUAUGUUUCAGUUUAGUCACAUAAUAUGUAUGUUAACGUUAUGAGUCAGAUUCUAAGGUUUAAUAUAAUGUUGCUAAAGUAUGAAACAUGAUAUUUUAGAAUAAAUCGUUUUUGUCUAUGGUACAACUGGUACAACUUUUGCCUUUGUAUCAAACAAUACAGGGGAUACUGGUAUAACUGGUCCAACUAUGUCUUAUUUACCAGACUAGUGAUACUGAUAUAACUAGUACAACUAUUCAGGUUCUGAAAUUGAUAUAUUCCAUUGGAUAUUCUAUAUGAAAAAAAAAGCAAUUAGCUGGCCAAAUUGGUAAGUAUUUAGAUAGGUUCCUUUUUAUUUGUGAUAAUUUUUUGUAUUUUUUUGCAGUUUUUACACCAUCUCAUAAGUUUGCAUGAUCUACCUUAUACUUUUAAGAAAAAAAAGCUAAAACAACAUAACUCACCGAGCAAGCAAUAUGUUGAUAUGCUUGAUGUACCAGUCAAGCCAGCUCGAUGUGUUGCUACAGUUAAAUUGUUACUACUGCUACUAUAGUUAAACCAAUUGGACUAUUAUUAUCGUAGUUCAAACACUAAACAUGAAUGAUUCUGUAUUCUUUUGAAUUCAUGAUGGAUUUUGUAUCAUCGUUUUGAAUAUACUCUUUCAAUCGUCUUUUAUUGCAACAUUUUUCCGGUACAGCAGUUGUCAUCUUUGGCUUCAAAAAAAUGAAGAUAAUUUUUUUCCGUAAAUAGUAUAACUAGUACAACUGGUACAAUUGGUAAACAAAUAACUAUCCAAAUAAAUAUUAUAAAAUAACUUUUAACAUAUUUCGACAAAUCAUAUAGUGGAAGAUUAUACCAACUUUUUCAUUGGUUCUACAUCAUCAUCUUAUAACAUCAUUCACAUGCUGAAAACAAAAAGCUAAUAUACCAUAUUAAUUGUAAAGUCAUACUAGUUAUACACGUUCUAAUUAUAUUAUUUAUACUAGUUAUAUUUGUUGUAGUAUUAGUUAUUCACGUUCUAGUUAUACCAGUUAUACUAGUUUCAGUUGUACUGGUUGUACUAGUAAUACUCUGUGUUUUUCAUUGUCGGAAAUUUUGUAUGUUGAACACGAGAUUCAAUUUUAUAUAAAUAAAAUGGAUUGAGAAAGAUGGAGAAUUGAUCGAUUUGGGAUAAGAAUGAAAUUUCAUAAAGUUUGAAGAAUUUUUUCGAUUUUUAUUUGGAUUGUGAGAUGAAGAAAUUUUGAUAAAAAUAAAAAAAAAUUAAAAUCUGGGUUCUUAACAUUGUGAAUCAGGAUUGAUUAUUGAAUAGAUGAAAUUGAGUAACACAAGAGGAAUCAGGUGGAUGUUACAUGAUUUUAGUUGAUUUUGAAAAAAAUAGUAAUGAAAGAUGAAGGUGAAAAUCGUGAGAGGGAUGAUGUUUGAGAAAGAGAGAUUUGGGGAUUUAGAGAUCCAAAUUGAAUAGGAUGGGUUAGUGGGUUAAGAUAGUGAGAGGUUGAGUUAGUAAAUAAGUAGAACUUUCUAGGUUUCAUAGUUUUUUCCUCAUAUUUUUUAUUUAAUUUUAAUUCAUUUUUAAAAUAAAAAGGCAAGAGGUCCAUAUGAGAUUAUUUUGACCCUUUGUGGUCCAUUACAGCAUUUGAUCCGAAAACAGAACAAAAAAAAAAAAAAACAGGAAUCCACCCUCUCACAACGUCAGCAAAGAGCAUUGGACAUUGGAGUUCUCUCGCCAAACCUAGUCGCCGAUUGGCUUGAAGGCUGUUGGGACUUUUACGUAUCUUACAGCCCUUAAAGUUAAUUUUAAGCCAAUCGGACUUUGGCUUUCCGUGUUUUUCUCAAAGCCUUCUAAAGCUUUCAACUGUCGACUGUUUCAAUUUUAUUCUUUGACAUGUUUGUUUAUUCUAAAGCCUCUAAACGAGACUUUUGAUGGCUUUGAGAAUCCUUUUUUUAUUUCUUUAUUUUUAAGGUUUUAUUUUUUAACAAGUUAAACACUUGAACAUAGUAAAACAUUUAACAAAAUUAAAUAAAAUCCAAUAAAAAUCAAAAUAAAUUUAGAUAAUUUUAUUAGUUUUUGUUAUUAACCAAUAAAAAAAUAUGUAUACAGAGUUUUUUUUCAUUUUAAUAUCCAUCUCAUAUAUUUAUUUUCAUAAUUUAUAUGUUACAUACUUUCACGAGCUUUUGGACAUAAUACUAAUAUUUUUUUUAUAUAAGUCAUAGCUUUUAAAGUUUAUGAUACCAAUCAAGCUUUUAAAGUUUAUGAUGUCAAUAAAACUUUUAAAAUAUUCAAAGUAACAGCCACAGCUUUUAAAGUCAAAAUCUCUACGGCUAAAAUUCUAAAGCCACAGCCUAAAGCGAAAGUCGUUAACAAUCGGAGCCCUAAUCUUUUUUCUUUAUGUCAGUAUAGCCACUGCAUCUAUUUUACAUCUUAAUUAACAAUAUACAUAUAAUUUUUAUAGGUGUGAGCUUAAUAUGCCAUCGAUUGACAACUAAAUGAAAAAAAGAACAUGUGAGAUAAGAGAGAUAUAGUGCAUUUACAUUUUAAAUUAUUAUUGUUUAUUUCAUCCUACGAUAUGUUUUGUGUAUAUUUUCUUUUUGAGAUAUGUAAAGCAGACUACCAUAAAUCAUAAUUCCGUAUUUUCUAAA
Long non-coding RNA from Brassica napus (rape), 5832 nucleotides. RefSeq lists it as uncharacterized. The transcript is spliced from 2 exons. The record is from RefSeq and is a predicted model, not a curated record. Lineage: Eukaryota; Viridiplantae; Streptophyta; Magnoliopsida; Brassicales; Brassicaceae.